Molecule: ribosomal RNA, 1415 nt
Filed under: Thermococcus sp. B4
Lineage: Archaea; Methanobacteriati; Methanobacteriota; Thermococci; Thermococcales; Thermococcaceae
Description: SSU rRNA
Rfam family: Archaeal small subunit ribosomal RNA
Source: RNAcentral
CCACUGCUAUGGGGGUCCGACUAAGCCUGCGAGUCAUGGGGCGCGCUCUGCGCGCACCGGCGGACGGCUCAGUAACACGUCGGUAACCUACCCUCGGGAGGGGGAUAACCCCGGGAAACUGGGGCUAAUCCCCCAUAGGCCUGAGGUACUGGAAGGUCCUCAGGCCGAAAGGGGCUCUGCCCGCCCGAGGAUGGGCCGGCGGCCGAUUAGGUAGUUGGUGGGGUAACGGCCCACCAAGCCGAAGAUCGGUACGGGCCAUGAGAGUGGGAGCCCGGAGAUGGACACUGAGACACGGGUCCAGGCCCUACGGGGCGCAGCAGGCGCGAAACCUCCGCAAUGCGGGAAACCGCGACGGGGGGACCCCCAGUGCCGUGGCAUCGCCACGGCUUUUCCGGAGUGUAAAGAGCUCCGGGAAUAAGGGCUGGGCAAGGCCGGUGGCAGCCGCCGCGGUAAUACCGGCGGCCCGAGUGGUGGCCGCUAUUAUUGGGCCUAAAGCGUCCGUAGCCGGGCCCGUAAGUCCCUGGCGAAAUCCCACGGCUCAACCGUGGGGCUUGCUGGGGAUACUGCGGGCCUUGGGACCGGGAGAGGCGGAGGGUACCCCUGGGGUAGGGGUGAAAUCCUAUAAUCCCAGGGGGACCGCCAGUGGCGAAGGCGCUCCGCUGGAACGGGUCCGACGGUGAGGGACGAAGGCCAGGGGAGCGAACCGGAUUAGAUACCCGGGUAGUCCUGGCUGUAAAGGAUGCGGGCUAGGUGUCGGGCGAGCUUCGAGCUCGCCCGGUGCCGAAGGGAAGCCGUUAAGCCCGCCGCCUGGGGAGUACGGCCGCAAGGCUGAAACUUAAAGGAAUUGGCGGGGGAGCACUACAAGGGGUGGAGCGUGCGGUUUAAUUGGAUUCAACGCCGGGAACCUCACCGGGGGCGACGGCAGGAUGAAGGCCAGGCUGAAGGUCUUGCCGGACACGCCGAGAGGAGGUGCAUGGCCGCCGUCAGCUCGUACCGUGAGGCGUCCACUUAAGUGUGGUAACGAGCGAGACCCGCGCCCCCAGUUGCCAGUCCUCCCCGCUGGGGAGGAGGCACUCUGGGGGGACCGCCGGCGAUAAGCCGGAGGAAGGAGCGGGCGACGGUAGGUCAGUAUGCCCCGAAACCCCCGGGCUACACGCGCGCUACAAUGGGCGGGACAAUGGGAUCCGACCCCGAAAGGGGAAGGGAAUCCCCUAAACCCGCCCCCAGUUCGGAUCGCGGGCUGCAACUCGCCCGCGUGAAGCUGGAAUCCCUAGUACCCGCGUGUCAUCAUCGCGCGGCGAAUACGUCCCUGCUCCUUGCACACACCGCCCGUCACUCCACCCGAGCGGGGUCUGGAUGAGGCCUGGUCUCCCUUCGGGGAGGCCGGGUCGAGUCUGGGCUCCGUGAGGGGGGAG